Apteryx haastii (Great spotted kiwi) is the source of this 158-nucleotide small nuclear RNA. Its record names the gene U1. It matches the Rfam family "U1 spliceosomal RNA". Rfam says of the family: U1 is a small nuclear RNA (snRNA) component of the spliceosome (involved in pre-mRNA splicing). Its 5' end forms complementary base pairs with the 5' splice junction, thus defining the 5' donor site of an intron. There are significant differences in sequence and secondary structure between metazoan and yeast U1 snRNAs, the latter being much longer (568 nucleotides as compared to 164 nucleotides in human). Lineage: Eukaryota; Metazoa; Chordata; Aves; Apterygiformes; Apterygidae. The record is from Ensembl.
ACACUUACCUGGCAGGGGAGACACCAUGAUCAGGAAGGUGGUUUUCCCAGAGUGAGGCUCAUCCCUUGCAUUCUGGGUGUGCUAUUUUUUUUUAUUUUGAGGGUGACAGAGCACUGGAACCGGUUGCCCAGAGGGGUAGUGGAGUCUCCUUCUCUGGA